Molecule: ribosomal RNA, 224 nt
Filed under: uncultured bacterium
Lineage: Bacteria
Description: partial 16S ribosomal RNA
Rfam family: Bacterial small subunit ribosomal RNA
Source: RNAcentral
CUUGGGCAAUCUGCCUUUAUGAGGGAGACAACCUGCCGAAAGGCGGGCUAAUAUCCCGUAAGACCACGGAAUGGCAUCAUUCAGAGGUUAAAGCUCCGCAAGGGGCGCAUGAAGAGGAGCCCAGGACCUAUCAGCUAGUUGGUGAGGUAACGGCUCACCAAGGCUUUGACGGGUAGCCGGCCUGAAAGGGUGAUCGGCCACACUGGCACUGAGACACGGGCCAG